CGCCCCUUCCGGGAGAUCUCCAUGGGACCUCUGGGCCAGGAAAAUUGGAAUGGGUUUCAAUGGAGAGAAAGUACUUAUUUUUAUCAUACCAAUUAUUGUCAUUAUAGGAUUUACAUUUGUUUAAAGCAAUGAAGCCUUCAAUAAGUUGUGUUGAUGGAUAGUACAUACUCCCACUUGAUAUUCUUUCCACAGGAAGCUCAUUUUUAGGUUGGAUUCUUGUCAAGAGAUUUCUGCAGUAGUAGUGAAAAUGUAGACUUUAUUUAAAUCCUUUAAUUAUAAAGACCUGUAACUCUUUUUCACUUGUGUUUAUUUGUGACUCAUUUUCUCAUUUUCUCCUUCCUUUGCCAGGGCAUCUGGACCAGGUACAGCAGUGCCUGUACCUGGCCCAGUGUAGGCACCGGCCUGUGGUGCAGCCCCCCUCGGAGACCACAGAGAAGUACGAGCAGCUAGCUGAACUCCUAGAGGUAAGCAGGACCCUUCAGAAUCAGAACACUGUCAAUGGGUGGAUUGUAUAAUUCAUUCAUCCAAUAUGGCGUGUAAGGAGAUUAAAGGACCUUCUGUUAAUGUGAAGGGUUCAAUUCGAAGCCUUCGAGAAAAAUAUGUUUUUAGAAUUUAGGAAGCUAAACAUUUGUGUGGCCAGCAUCUUUAACCCAGAGAUCCUUUUGUGGGUUUUUUCAGGCAUGUCUCCAAAUGGACUCUGCCAACAGGUCCAGCUGCUCUGAGCUGCUCGGCCAGGAUUAUUUCACCUGGGAGCAUUUCCCUGACAGGUUCACCAAAGAGAUGGAGCUCAUGGUCCAGAGGGACUGUGAAUGCUGCGUGCCUCCUCAGACUGGUACCCAGCAAGCCUCCACUCCUUCAGACAACUCCACACGUCCCUCUGUACAUUGAUCCAACCACACAUCAGGCUGUGAAUGUGGUGGAGAUGGGGACUCCCUCCAGUCAGCUCUAGGAUGGGAGCCAUGCGAUGAAUAACCUCGAGGGGGCCCAGCAUAAGCCUCCUCAGACCAGAGGUAUGUCUGCGGAGCCCCAGAUCAAGACCCCUCAGACCAGAUGAGGAACUAUUAGGUAACCCAAUAAUCCAAUUGGUUACGGGAUGAGUACUUCCUUCACUCGUUAACAAAAAUAGUCUGGCCCCCAAUCAAAGGUUUUAUGGUCACGACUACCUUGACGAACGAUUGGUUUGGUUCCAGGCUUAAAAGUCUUUAUAGAACGAUUUGACGAAAAGUCAAUGGAGAAAAUGAAUGGGAAAUUUAUUUCCAGAACCAGAGCUGUUCAAAAAGGGGGCGGGCACUGUUGCGCUCUAUUACUGCCGGUGACCUCGAGUGAGUGACAGGAGGCGGGGCUAUGUUGGCGCUGUAGCGAUGCGUGUCUGUUAACUCCCUGUCAGAGAGAAGAGAGCGAGAUAGAGCAGCUGAUAUUUGUGUAUUGAUACUGCAGAGAAUAAAUAUUGAAAGCGGCUAAAAAAUUAUUAUAUAUUUUUGCACUACUAGAUGUAAGCCAACAGUAUACAUUGAGAUGAUCAUGUGUUAGUGGACAUUCUUUCCCAGUGUACCUAGUUGAGAUCCUGUAAUAAACUAUGUGAAACUACUAUUUGAUCUGAACUGGGCUUUAGUCAAUCAGUCUAAACCUAUUUCAUCGUCCUUUUAAGGAGUGC
This 1654-nucleotide long non-coding RNA is filed under the name Gadus morhua (Atlantic cod). RNAcentral describes it as "lncRNA (ENSGMOG00000031393.1)". The record is from RNAcentral. Lineage: Eukaryota; Metazoa; Chordata; Actinopteri; Gadiformes; Gadidae.